AAUUCGCCCUUAAAGUUUGAUCCUGGCUCAGGAUGAACGCUGGCGGCAUGCCUAAUACAUGCAAGUCAAACGGGUGUAGCANUUCACAAGUGGCGAACGGGUGAGUAACACAUAGACAACCUGUCCUUAAGACGAGGAUAACAGUUGGAAACGACUGCUAAAACUGGAUAGGAUAAAGUAACGCAUGUUAAGAUAUUUAAAGAUGCUUUCGGGCAUUACUUAAGGAGGGGUCUAUGUCGCAUUAACUAGUUGG
This 253-nucleotide ribosomal RNA is filed under the name uncultured bacterium. RNAcentral describes it as "partial 16S ribosomal RNA". It matches the Rfam family "Bacterial small subunit ribosomal RNA", at positions 1 to 252 of the family's 1533-position model. The record is from RNAcentral.